This 401-nucleotide unclassified non-coding RNA is filed under the name Hevea brasiliensis (rubber tree). Lineage: Eukaryota; Viridiplantae; Streptophyta; Magnoliopsida; Malpighiales; Euphorbiaceae. The record is from RNAcentral.
AGUUGAGUUGAGUUGAGUAUAUAUGUCUACUUGGAUUUUUUUUUUCCUUUGCAUUUUUGGAUGCAUUGUGAAUGGUGUCUGGAUUUAACUGUGGAUUAAAGUAUUAUUUGGUCUAUUUUAGUUUUUUUUUAUUAUUAAAAAAUUUAUCCUAUAUAAGCACUGUCUUGUGUAGUUUUGAUUCACUUUCAUUUUUGUACAUCCUUUGAAAUGAGUUUUAAUAUGCAUUUCUUUAGUAGCUGGUGAGAAGAUGCCUUAUUGAGUAUUGAAGUUAGCCUAUAAAAGAAAUGCAGAGUGAGAUGCUUUGUAUAGUGUAUACUGAGUGUGGUUAGUUUUUGUGGGUUUGGAAGAUGUCCUCAUGAUCAGACUUAUUGAAUUGUGCAUGGUUGUCAAUUUGAGUUUUG